This 253-nucleotide ribosomal RNA is filed under the name uncultured bacterium. RNAcentral's name for it is "partial 16S ribosomal RNA". It matches the Rfam family "Bacterial small subunit ribosomal RNA", at positions 524 to 776 of the family's 1533-position model. The record is from RNAcentral.
UACGUAGGGUGCGAGCGUUGUCCGGAAUUAUUGGGCGUAAAGGGCUCGUAGGCGGUCUGUCGCGUCUGCCGUGAAAGUCCGGGGCUCAACUCCGGAUCUGCGGUGGGUACGGGCAGACUAGAGUGAUGUAGGGGAGGCUGGAAUUCCUGGUGUAGCGGUGAAAUGCGCAGAUAUCAGGAGGAACACCGAUGGCGAAGGCAGGUCUCUGGGCAUUAACUGACGCUGAGGAGCGAAAGCGUGGGGAGCGAACAGG